GUUCGCAUUUUAAUGGCAAUCCUUGAAAACCUAAAAGCCUUAGAAACUAGAAGAAAUCAAUGUUUAAUGAUGGAACUUGAAACAUUAUGACAAAGGAGAAGGAGCUGAAAGGAAUUUUUAGACAUCACUGAGUGCAACCAAUUCAUCUUCUGCAUGAGCAAACAUAGAAGGAGAGAGAGAAAUGACAGGUGUCACACUACAGCCCCAGAUUUCCUAACACAAACUCCAGGAAAAGAAUCAUAUUGACUCACCUAGUAAUCUACCAAGCCCUGUCAGAGGCUAUGGACCUUCCUAUUCCACUUUUCAACGCCUGUCAAAGAUGACAAAGAUGACAAACAAGUGAUUGAGAAUUCUCUGCAUUUAUUUUAAAAGCCACAAUCAUGGAAAUGGUGCAUUUUAGCAAAAAUAAAGACAGCACAGAUAAUUGACAAAUGAAACUGAACCAGAAUAAGGUCUGGAAUGGACUAAAACAAAGAUAAUUCAUUACAAAUGCCCCGACUAUAAAUUUCAUCAGUCAUUAAUAAGCAAGAUUUCAGGCCAGGCGUGGUGGCUCACUCCUGUAAUCCCAACACUUUGGGAGGCCGAGGCGGGCGGAUCACUUGAGGUCAGGAGUUUGAGACAAGCCUAGCCAACAUGAUGAAACCCCAUCUCUACCAAAAAUACAAAAAUUAGCUGGGUAUGGUGGUGCAUGCCUGUAAUCUCAGCUAUUCAGGAGGCCAAGGCAGAAGAAUCACUUGAACCCAAGAGGCAGAGGUUGCAGUGAGCUGAGAUCAUGCCACUGCACUCCAUCCAGCCUAGGUGACAGAGCAAGACUCUGUCUCAAAAAAUAAUAAUAAAAUAAAAUAAAAUAAAAAGCAAGAUUUCAC
Molecule: long non-coding RNA, 866 nt
Filed under: Homo sapiens (human)
Lineage: Eukaryota; Metazoa; Chordata; Mammalia; Primates; Hominidae
Description: HSALNT0135261
Source: RNAcentral